AUAGAUCAUUCACCUCCAUAUCACCUAAAAGAAGAAAGUUAAAGGCAGCAGUAUAUUUAUUUGUUGAGGGUUGUCACCGUGUUCCCUUUCCUUGCUGUGGGUGAGUGGAAGGAAGCUGCAAGAAGACCACUCACAGAGCUUGGCAUAUGCCCAUUAGUAUUCGGAGGAGGAAGCGACUGGUACCUGAUGCCUACCUGAAAAUGUCUAAUGGGAAAGAUCUGGCCAACCACUCUGAAGGCAGAGCAAGAGGAGUGUACUACAUUCAGAGGAAGCCACUCUUCUACCAAAAGCAAGGACAAGGCCCCUAGGCAGAAGGACUUCCCUUGUCUCAGAUGAAACUUUGGACUUGGACUUUUGGGUUAAUGCUGGAAUAAAUUAUGACUUUGGAGGACUGUUGGGAAGGCAUGAUUUGCUUCAAAAUGUGAAAGAUACAUGAGAUUUGACAGGGGCCAGGGCUGGAAUGACAUGGUUAGGGUUUGUGUUUCCACCUAAAUCUCAUCUUGAAUUAUAAUCCCCAUAAUCCCCAUAAUGCCCACAUGUCAAGGCAGAGACCAGGUGAAGAUAAUUGGAUGAUAGGGACAGUUUCCCUCAUGCUGUUCUCAUGAUAGUGAGUGAAUUCUCACAAGAUCUAAUGGUUUUAUAAGUGUUUGGUAGUUCCUCUUGCAUUCAUUCUCCUUCCUGCUGCCUGUGAGAAGGUGCCUUGCUUCCCCUUUGCCUUCCACCAUAAUCGUAAGUUUCCUGAGGUCUCCCAAGCCAUGUGCAACUGUGAGUCAAUUAAACCUCUUUCCUUUAUAAACU
Molecule: long non-coding RNA, 798 nt
Organism: Homo sapiens (human)
Lineage: Eukaryota; Metazoa; Chordata; Mammalia; Primates; Hominidae
Source: Ensembl